UCGAGAAUCAUUCGCAAUGGGCGAAAGCCUGACGAUGCGACGCCGUGUGAGCGAUGAAGGCCUUUGGGUCGUAAAGCUCUUUCGCUUGGGAACAAGAGAGGCCUAUUAAUACUAGGCUCAUUUGAGGGUACCAGGUAAAGAAGCACCGGCUAACUCCGUGCCAGCAGCUGCGGUAAUACGGAGGGUGCAAGCAUUAAUCGGAUUUAUUGGGCGUAAAGGGCGCGUAGGCGGGAAUGUAAGUCGAAUGUUAAAGAUCGGGGCUCAACCUCGAAAAAGCAUUGGAUACUGCGUUUCUAGAGGGUAGACGGAGAAAAUAGAAUUCCACAAGUAGCGGUGAAAUGCGUAGAUAUGUGGAGGAAUACCGGUGGCGAAGGCGGUUUUCUAGUUUAUACCUGACGCUGAGGCGCGAAAGCAAGGGGAGCAAACAGG
RNAcentral lists this ribosomal RNA (429 nucleotides) under uncultured bacterium. RNAcentral's name for it is "bacterial SSU rRNA". It matches the Rfam family "Bacterial small subunit ribosomal RNA", at positions 355 to 776 of the family's 1533-position model. The record is from RNAcentral.